This 253-nucleotide ribosomal RNA is filed under the name uncultured bacterium. RNAcentral's name for it is "partial 16S ribosomal RNA". It matches the Rfam family "Bacterial small subunit ribosomal RNA", at positions 524 to 776 of the family's 1533-position model. The record is from RNAcentral.
UACGUAGGGAGCAAGCGUUGUUCGGAUUUACUGGGCGUAAAGCGCGUGUAGGCGGUUCUGUAAGUCCGCUGUGAAAGCCGGGGGCUCAACCCUCGAAAGCCGGUGGAUACUGUCGGACUAGAGUUCGGAAGAGGCGAGUGGAAUUCCUGGUGUAGCGGUGAAAUUCGCAGAUAUCAGGAGGAACACCGGUGGCGAAGGCGGGUCUCUGGGCCGUAACUGACGCUGAGGAGCGAAAGCAUGGGGAGCGAACAGG